GACGAACGCUGGCGGCGUGCUUAACACAUGCAAGUCGAACGGAAAGGCCCUGCUUGCAGGGUACUCGAGUGGCGAACGGGUGAGUAACACGUGGGUGAUCUGCCCUGCACUUCGGGAUAAGCUUGGGAAACUGGGUCUAAUACCGGAUAGGAACCAUCUUUAGUGUGGUGGUUGGAAAGUUUUUUCGGUGUAGGAUGAGCUCGCGGCCUAUCAGCUUGUUGGUGGGGUAAUGGCCUACCAAGGCGGCGACGGGCAGCCGGCCUGAGAGGGUGUACGGCCACAUUGGGACUGAGAUACGGCCCAGACUCCUACGGGCGGCAGCAGUGGGGAAUAUUGCACAAUGGGCGCAAGCCUGAUGCAGCGACGCCGCGUGGGGGAUGAAGGCCUUCGGGUUGUAAACUCCUUUCGCUAGGGACGAAGCUUUGUUGUGACGGUACCUAGAUAAGAAGCACCGGCUAACUACGUG
RNAcentral lists this ribosomal RNA (466 nucleotides) under uncultured bacterium. RNAcentral's name for it is "partial 16S ribosomal RNA". It matches the Rfam family "Bacterial small subunit ribosomal RNA", at positions 28 to 507 of the family's 1533-position model. The record is from RNAcentral.